GACGAACGCUGGCGGCGUGCCUAAUACAUGCAAGUUGAGCGAUGAAGAUUGGUGCUUGCACCAAUUUGAAGAGCAGCGAACGGGUGAGUAACGCGUGGGGAAUCUGCCUUUGAGCGGGGGACAACAUUUGGAAACGAAUGCUAAUACCGCAUAACAACUUUAAACAUAAGUUUUAAGUUUGAAAGAUGCAAUUGCAUCACUCAAAGAUGAUCCCGCGUUGUAUUAGCUAGUUGGUGUGGUAAAGGCUCACCAAGGCGAUGAUACAUAGCCGACCUGAGAGGGUGAUCGGCCACAUUGGGACUGAGACACGGCCCAAACUCCUACGGGAGGCAGCAGUAGGGAAUCUUCGGCAAUGGACGAAAGUCUGACCGAGCAACGCCGCGUGAGUGAAGAAGGUUUUCGGAUCGUAAAACUCUGUUGGUAGAGAAGAACGUUGGUGAGAGUGGAAAGCUCAUCAAGUGACGGUAACUACCCAGAAAGGGACGGCUAACUACGUG
This 497-nucleotide ribosomal RNA is filed under the name uncultured bacterium. RNAcentral's name for it is "partial 16S ribosomal RNA". It matches the Rfam family "Bacterial small subunit ribosomal RNA", at positions 28 to 507 of the family's 1533-position model. The record is from RNAcentral.